This is a transfer RNA of 84 nucleotides. It matches the Rfam family "tRNA". From Rfam's summary of the family: Transfer RNA (tRNA) molecules are approximately 80 nucleotides in length. Their secondary structure includes four short double-helical elements and three loops (D, anti-codon, and T loops). The record is from Rfam.
CUCUCGGUGGCCAAGCUGGCUAAGGCGCGAGACUGUAAUUGUAUUGUAAUCUUGAGAUCGGGUGUUCGACUCACCCCCGGGAGA